This 345-nucleotide RNase P RNA is filed under the name Synergistales bacterium. RNAcentral describes it as "RNase P RNA component class A". It matches the Rfam family "Bacterial RNase P class A". From Rfam's summary of the family: Ribonuclease P (RNase P) is a ubiquitous endoribonuclease, found in archaea, bacteria and eukarya as well as chloroplasts and mitochondria. Its best characterised activity is the generation of mature 5'-ends of tRNAs by cleaving the 5'-leader elements of precursor-tRNAs. Cellular RNase Ps are ribonucleoproteins. Lineage: Bacteria; Thermotogati; Synergistota; Synergistia; Synergistales. The record is from RNAcentral.
GGAGUAUUUCAGGUAGUCGCUGUCCCUACAUAAGGGGCAGAGGAAAGUCCGGGCUCCAGAGGGCAGGGUGCUGGGUAAAGCCCAGUUGGUGCGAACCAAAGGAAAGUGCCACAGAAACAGACCGCCUUGCCCCCUCGGGCAAGGUAAGGGUGAAAAGGUGAGGUAAGAGCUCACCGGGCAUCAGGUGACUGAUGUGCCAGGCAAACCCCGCCUGGAGCAAGGCUGAAUAGGGGGGGAUGAAGUGGCCCGCUGACCCCCGGGUACGGCCGCUUGAGAUAGUCCGCGAGGACCUAUCCAGAUAAAUGACUACCCACGACAGAACCCGGCUUAUGAGAUGCUCCCUCA